Long non-coding RNA from Ictalurus punctatus (channel catfish), 1605 nucleotides. RefSeq lists it as uncharacterized. Lineage: Eukaryota; Metazoa; Chordata; Actinopteri; Siluriformes; Ictaluridae. The transcript has 3 exons. The record is from RefSeq and is a predicted model, not a curated record.
AAUAUUAUUCCAUUAAUGUGAUGUUUAAUAACUCUUUGCAUAUAUUGAUUUUUGAAAUACAUUCUUUACCUAAUUAAUGCAUUUAAUUUUCUAGAUACAGUCCAACCUGGUAGACGCUGGGUUACUGCACAAUCCCUCACAGAGUCACCAGUUUAUCAGCCUGAUAAAGAGCUCAGUGUGGAUGUCGGAGACCCGGCUACUCUGCAGUGUUGUAUUUCUGAAAACAUAGUUGGGAUGGUUGCCUGGUUUAAGCAACCAAACAGAAAACAGCCUCAGAUUAUAGUCAAACUCUUUAAAAAUGUUGGAGGAACAUUUUCCAUUGAAUUCCAAAAUCCUGGUUUCCAGACAGAAAAACAUUUAAACUGUUUCAACAUGACCAUUUUAAACACCACUCAGUCUGAUGAAGCCAUGUACUACUGUGCACUGACAUCCCCCGACAUCGUGUUUGCAGAUGGGACUUAUUUAAAAAUUAAAGGUAGGAUUUUGAUUUAAAUUGAUUAAGCUGCAGAUUUAAUGUAGUGAUAUUUUUCCUUAUAACCAUUAGCAUGAUAAAUGUUUAUAGGUGAUCAUGUUACCAUUGUAUCAGAAACAUCUAAACCAGCUCUGUGUGAUAAUUCAGUGGUGUGUGAUCCAACACUGCAUGGAAACAACACUAACAUGAACACAUACGAGAAAACAGGUGAUAUGUUGUAUAAUUUAGUAUUAAUUAAUUAUACUUAAUUCAUAAAGCAUAAUUUACCCAGAAAAUAAUGUGUACUAAUGUAAAUAUAACAUGGUGAAAUAUCAGAACCAGAAAUGAUCAGAUCUCUACAUUCGACAGUGCUCGGUUUGGGAACGGCUUUGGGUUUGUGUGCAUUUCUGAUAUUCUGUCUCACUUAUUUCAUACUGAGGAGAAGAAAAUGUGAUAAAAUAAAUGCUUCUGUAGAACAUUCUCCAGGAAGAAAUCAGGAAUCUGAAGCUGAAACACUGAAUUACGCAGCUGUGCAAUUCUCCAAGAGGAAAGCCGAAGCUGCAAAAAGAAAAACUGGCUCAUCAGAUGAGUGUGUGUACUCUGAUGUGAAUAAAACUGUAAGAUGUAACAUAAAUGAUUUAUAAUACACAGUGAAACACUUGAAAAUGUUUUAGCAUGUUAAAUAUAUCGACUAUGCAAAUUUAUUACAUAUUUUUCAUUACAGGCUUAUAAUCAUUAAAAGAUUAUUAAACCAACAGUUUUGUUAAUUUCAAGCUUGCGAGAUCAUUUAUCUGCUUACAGAUGAGUGUAUUUCUACAAACAAAAUUACUUCAUAUGCCAGCAUUAUUUAUUUAUUUAUUUAUUUAUUUAUUUUUAAAAGCCUAAUCUCAUUAUAAUACAUAAUAAGUAAAUUUGCCCGUAUUCAUGAUAUUUUUAAAGCGCUGUAGCUAAACAUCCAUGCUACAGGUUUUUAUCUAUUUUCUUUCUACUGUCCUAUUAUUAACAUUAAAUACCUUUUAAAGGUUAGCUAACUUUAUAUGACUACAAUGUUGCCCUUUGUGGAGAUUGUGUGGUAUCAUCUGUAUGACUCUGAUUUUUACACAAUAAAUGUACAACAAAUUUAAUUAAAGAAAUAAAAAAAGACCCUUAAAGAU